AAUGGGUUUGUUAGUAUAAUGGAAACAGAUAAGAGCAGUUAAAGUGUUACUGAGCAUGGUGGGAAUGUAAUAUAUGAGCGCACACUUGAAGACUGUCUCAACUCCAUAUCUCAAAGCAAGGUAAAGCAACCGGUCGGGAAGGGCAAGGGUUUUUAAACAAUCUUUAC
Non-coding RNA from Chelonoidis abingdonii (Abingdon island giant tortoise), 167 nucleotides. The record is from RefSeq and is a predicted model, not a curated record. NCBI's taxonomy places the organism in Eukaryota, Metazoa, Chordata, Testudines, Testudinidae.